This 239-nucleotide unclassified non-coding RNA is filed under the name Glomeraceae sp. RNAcentral describes it as "partial contains 5.8S ribosomal RNA and internal transcribed spacer 2". The stretch from base 1 to 65 matches the Rfam family "5.8S ribosomal RNA", at positions 84 to 154 of the family's 154-position model. The record is from RNAcentral. Lineage: Eukaryota; Fungi; Glomeromycota; Glomeromycetes; Glomerales; Glomeraceae.
GUGAAUCAUCGAAUUUUUGAACGCAAAUUGCACUUUCUUCGGAGAGUAGGCCUGUUUGAGGGUCAGCCUAAAAAAAAAUGACAUAGUCGCUGUUUCGCGGUGACAUUCGUCGGCAAUGGGGUCAUCUUACAUCUUUGGGGUUUAAGCGGGUUAAAAUUUUCUUUACGAUUACACGAAUGUUCCUAAGAUUUACUUAUUACACGUUGAGGUUAAUCGAUCUUGAUUAGACGGGGCCUUUG